AAGUGUUCCUCUCUUACUCAACAUUCCAAAGAAUAUUGAUUGUUAGAGUACCUCUUUUCCUUCCUUAUAUCUAGUUAUCUACUCCUCUUGACACCGAAAUCUAUGAGUUUAGAACCUUGGUUCACCUUGCUGGCUCCAAUCAGUCUGGAAAAAUAGAAGUGGAAUCCAAGGCCAAGAAAGAUGAAGAAAUUGAGAAUCGGAGACGUGUCUACUUUCCCAGGAUCACUCAGUUAAUAAGUGGGAGAGAGAGAAUGGCUUGAAAGU
Molecule: long non-coding RNA, 264 nt
Filed under: Monodelphis domestica (gray short-tailed opossum)
Lineage: Eukaryota; Metazoa; Chordata; Mammalia; Didelphimorphia; Didelphidae
Description: lncRNA (ENSMODG00000041103.1)
Source: RNAcentral